AUUGAACGCUGGCGGCAGGCCUAACACAUGCAAGUCGAACGGUAACAGAAAGCAGCUUGCUGCUUUGCUGACGAGUGGCGGACGGGUGAGUAAUGUCUGGGAAACUGCCUGAUGGAGGGGGAUAACUACUGGAAACGGUAGCUAAUACCGCAUAACGUCGCAAGCCCAAAGAGGGGGACCUUCGGGCCUCUUGCCAUCGGAUGUGCCCAGAUGGGAUUAGCUAGUAGGUGGGGUAACGGCUCACCUAGGCGACGAUCCCUAGCUGGUCUGAGAGGAUGACCAGCCACACUGGAACUGAGACACGGUCAAGACUCCUACGGGAGGCAGCAGUGGGGAAUAGUGCACAAUGGGCGCAAGCCUGAUGCAGCCAUGCCGCGUGUAUGAAGAAGGCCUUCGGGUUGUAAAGUACUUUCAGCGGGGAGGAAGGGAGUAAAGUUAAUACCUUUGCUCAUUGACGUUACCCGCAGAAGAAGCACCGGCUAACUCCGUG
Molecule: ribosomal RNA, 490 nt
Filed under: uncultured bacterium
Lineage: Bacteria
Description: partial 16S ribosomal RNA
Rfam family: Bacterial small subunit ribosomal RNA
Source: RNAcentral